CCUGCAUGAAGUCGGAAUUGCUGUAAUCGCAGAUCAGCAUGCUGCGGUGAAUACGUUCCCGGGCCUUGUACACACCGCCCGUCACACCAUGGGAGUCGGUAACACCCGAAGUCAGGAGCCUGACCUUUUUAGGAGGGCACUGCCGAAGGUGGGAUUGAUGACUGGGGUGAAGUCGUAACAAGGUAUC
This 187-nucleotide ribosomal RNA is filed under the name uncultured bacterium. RNAcentral's name for it is "partial 16S ribosomal RNA". It matches the Rfam family "Bacterial small subunit ribosomal RNA", at positions 1315 to 1500 of the family's 1533-position model. The record is from RNAcentral.